AUGGGGGCUUCGGCACUCACAUCGGCGCCCGGUGAAGAAGCUUCUACGAGGCCCAGCCCCAGCGGUUUCGCCUCCUACGCCGACAAGCUCCGAGGCGACCUGGACAAGAUCGCGGCGGACGCGACCGACAAGGACGUCCUGGAUGCCCUCGCGGAGCUCAGCAAGGCCGUCGGCAAGAUGGCAACAACGGCGGCCGCGGCCGGCGAGCACGUCUUGUACAACUUGGACUCUGUAGCCACGGGCGACCUCGCCCUCGAGAUCGACGAGGCCAUCGAGUUGAUAGCAGAGGCGGCCGCGGCAGGCGAGGCAGACUGGGUGAUGGGCACCACGCGGUUGCUCAUGGCGAGCGCCGAGGAAAUCACCCGCCACCUCACGGAGGCCAUCGAGGAAGACAAAGCAGCGGCGGGCGGAGCCAGCGGGGUUGAACUUGAAGAACAGGCCGUGGACGGCGAUGCUUCCUUGGACGAUCGGGUUCAGCAAGAGAUGUACGAGGAGCAGGAGGAGGCCUUCUUGGACGAACUCGACUACCUCGACAUGGUCUUGGAUGUUGACGAGGCCUUGGAUGAUUUGCGCCUGGAAGCGGCCGGGUGCAGCGGUGGCCGUCCGCCAACGACAGGGUUUCUUGGACGAUAUGAUUUUUUCACACUGCAAGAUUUCUUGAAGUUGGUUGAUUGA
Molecule: ribosomal RNA, 675 nt
Filed under: Triticum aestivum (bread wheat)
Lineage: Eukaryota; Viridiplantae; Streptophyta; Magnoliopsida; Poales; Poaceae
Description: partial small subunit ribosomal RNA
Source: RNAcentral